UAGGAAAUGUCUAGACGGCUGUUUUUGUUCUUUCCCUCUUCUCCUUUCCAAUUGUCCAGGCCUUGAAUGUGAGAAAGAAAUUUAAGACCCUCAAACAAUAUGCCAAAUAAAUGUCUUUUGCAUUCUGGAAGGAAAAAGAAAGGGUCUCUAGGGCUCAGUAAACUGACUCUAAGUCGGCCUGGAAGAGCCACAAUACUUUUUCUUCUCUAGACUGCCUGUGGUCCCCUCAGAAUUAUUCCACCGGCCUAGAAAACCAGUUCUGUGACAUUCUGGGGGCUUUUAUCUCUUAUGGUGAAUUACUAUAUCCAAUGCAAAUCUCCUCCAGGGCUCACGGAGAUCUCAGCAAGCAAGGAAUAUGGAACUGCUCAAAUCAGGAAUAGAUGGAGACUUUGAAGAUAAGUGUGUCCUGGUGUGGUCUAUGGAAAAGCCUCCUUAGUGCCUGUGAAAACCAGUGAAGUAUCUCAUCACUGCUUCUGAGGCCUGCUAUUCUGCCGUCCCUGCUGUUCUACUGCCCCUAGUGGCUACCAGUGGUGCAUCGCUCAGAGAUGGCAAUCUGGUCUCUGGAGGUCUUCAUGCUUCCCACUAUAUUCCCUACAGAAGGACAACCAAGAUGGAAAUAAGCAGUGGAAAGGGGUGAAUAUGGAAGAGGAUGGACAAAACCAGUGUCAUCUGUGUGAGAUUAAAGAAGUGAGUCAUUGAGGUUACAGACAAGUAGCGUCGGGGCAGAGCCAAGAGGAGGAGGAAAGGUGGGACUCUGAAAGGUAAGGUUCUGCCUAUUUCACCUGAGCUCUCCAAGGGUGACCCUUCCUGUCCUUUCCAUGAGGGCCCAGGGCCAUGAUCUCUGAGGAUGUCACCUGCUAGAUACAAUCCCUCUUAGAAAACGGAGGCCUCGGAGAAGGGUUUUGUGCUCUU
Molecule: long non-coding RNA, 912 nt
Organism: Ailuropoda melanoleuca (giant panda)
Lineage: Eukaryota; Metazoa; Chordata; Mammalia; Carnivora; Ursidae
Exons: 4
Source: RefSeq, a predicted model, not a curated record